This 157-nucleotide unclassified non-coding RNA is filed under the name soil metagenome. RNAcentral's name for it is "partial internal transcribed spacer 1". The record is from RNAcentral.
CCUAGAGUUGUAGCUGACUGCUCUCUAACCCAUGUCUUUGACAGUACCUUCGUUUCCUUCGGCGGGAUCCGCCAGUUGACGCAGCUGGACCAUUCUCCCCGAGACCCAACUGCAUUGUUUAAUUAUGUAUCGUCUGAGUAAACAAGCUAAUAGAUUA